This 7199-nucleotide long non-coding RNA is filed under the name Sus scrofa (pig). Its description in RNAcentral is "lncRNA (ENSSSCG00000062402.1)". Lineage: Eukaryota; Metazoa; Chordata; Mammalia; Artiodactyla; Suidae. The record is from RNAcentral.
AGACAGCGCAUGUAUUGCCUAUGAUGGGCAUAAUGAGGAAAGCACAAAGCCAAGUUUCACAAAGUCUUGGGCAUCUUCCUGGAGAAGUGUUCACUUGACAUAAACUUUCAAGAAUGGUCAAGCUUUACCCGGAGAAGUAGGAAGGACAAUCAAAUGAGGGGCCAGUGUUUGACAAACAUGAAAGAUUACAUGGUAAUGAGACAGUUUGCUCUUGCUGGAGAAAAGGUAUUGAAUUAUGAAUUAGAUGAAAUUUUAUAUUAUCACUUCUGAGACAUGCAAUGGCAUGCUCUAAAGUGCAUAUUUAAUGAAAUAGUCCUAGGUAAUUUUUCACAUUUGACUUAAAAAGUGCCCCCCUCCAGUGGAACUAUAUCAAUGUUCUAAAAUGGUUGCAGAACAGAGCUUGAGGAAGAGAAGAAGCAUGGAGUGGUGGAAAAAGAAAACACCCAGAUUGAUUUCCUACCCCACUGUGUUGAGAGCUCCUGAGAGCCUGGGCAAGUCAGGUCAAGGGCCUAAGCCUUAAUUCCACUGUUUAUAAAAAUAGCUUGAUAAUCCUGUCCAUCUCUCUGAAUUAACUUCUUCCUUCCUUCCUUUAUUCCUCUCUUUCUCUCUCUCCCUCCCUUCCUUCCUUCCUCCCUUGCUUGCUUCCUACUUUAUUUUGUCACGCUCAUGGCAUGCAGAAGUUCCUGUGCCAAGGAUAAAACCCAUGCCAUAACAGUAAUCAGAGCCACAGCUGUGACACUGUAGUCUCCUUAACCCACUGAGCCAUCAGGGAACUCUCUGAAUUUCUAUACCAUUGCUGUGGAAGUGUUUUCUUUGAGGGGAGGGUGGCACGAGCUGAGUCCUUUUGCAAAGAUGUUGCGUCAUAGUCAUAUUUCUAUCCAAUUAAUCAUUUCUCAACUAGAUAAUUAACAGUAUGAGAUAGCCCUCUAUUCUCUAACUUUAGAAUAACUUUAAUGAAGUCAUUAGCUUUAACUCAUGCUGAACUUUGCUUUAUAGUGGCACUUUUUUCUACCUGUUCAAGAGACCCUGGGCACCAGAAAACAACUUAUUUCCUACCUCUUCUUUAGUUAAAAAUUUUUUUGAUUAUUUGUUUUUGUUCAGGAAUAUACAUGUAUUAAUUCACUCUGCUAGUCAAAUCAUACACACACACACACACAAACACACACACACACACAUAAAUAAACUGAAUUAAUUAGAAGCCUCAAUAUUCUUAUCACAAAAGUGAGGGAAGAUCAGAGUGGCCUGGAUUUGAAGCUAAAUCCUGGAUGGACAGUAGAAUCUAACACAAUCUAAUUAAGAAUAUGUCACUAUCACACUUUUUUAAACUACGAACCACUGUUAUCCCCCCUUAAAGACUCCUUAGAACUGGAGACUCAGAAUUUUACCACUAUCUUGAAUGCCUUAGAUUUCAGUCAACAGUACCAAGGUUGGGUUUCAAAGUACAGUUCUCUUGUUUUGUUGGUUGAUAACUUAGAAAUUUGAAUCAAAUUCUUCGCACAGUCAUAAUGUUUAAACUCAGAGACCACAUAAGAAAAAAUUAAUAGGCUUUUACCUGACUUUGAUCAACAAAAUGUGUAUUAGGCACAGAGAGCAUUAUCAUCAUAUCAAGUGCUGGGAAAAUAGUAAGGAAUCAAACCACAGAGGCCUCUCUUCUGGGAGACAUUGCUGGGGGCUGUGUGGAGGAGGGCACCCGCUGACAGCGGGGAGAUGUCCCCAGUGCUAAGGGAGCAUGAAAUAGGAAGUAAUCUGUUCUGUCUAAGAGGUCACAGAAAGGUCGGCCAGAGGAAGGGAUAUUUGAGCUGCAAUUUAAAGGAUGGAUGGGCCUUAGUUGGAGAGAAAAGGGGUAGGGGGAAGGGAAUUCCAGAGAGAGAGAGAGGCCAUUGCCCAAAGAGCAGAAGCUCUGGGUAAGGGGGAGGAAUAUGAAACAGUCUGAAGAUGUGUUCUAGAAUAUAAAUUUAGAGAGGUCAUCUGUGAUUUUCUUGUUCAGGACUUUGGAUGCCAAGCAUGCACUUUGAGACUUAUUCUCUAGAAAAUAAGAAGAGUAGGUGAGAAAAGCCAGCAGCCAACAAUACCUCUAGGGCAUCCAAGGAAGAAGAGCUGAAACAAGAGUUUCUCUCUGCUCUGCCACAUGAAAUCUUCAUGUGGAGCAUUGGAGAAAAGCAGUGGAAAGGGCAUUACAGUAAACCCCAAGGGUGGGGUUGGCUUGUAUUUAUUUCUUUCCUUGAAUAAGAAAGGAAUGCAGUUGAGGCAGCCUAUGUCAGAGGAGUGAAAUGUGUAAGAUGUUAUGGGAAGUGUAUACCUACCUUUGACCCACCAGAGAAGGUUUUCUGGAAAAGGCAACCCUAAGAGCUAAAUCUGAAAUGAUGAGUAAGAAUAAACAACUUAAUGGAGUUCCCAUCAUGGCUUGACAGAAAUGAAUCCGACUAGAAACCAUGAAGUUUCAGGUUCGAUCCCUGGCCUCACUCAGUGGGUUAAGGAUCCCACGUUGCUGUGAGCUGUGGUGCGGCUUGGAUCUGGUGUUGCUGUGGCUCUGGUGUAGGCCGGAGGCUACAGCUCCGAUUCGACUCCUAGCCUGGGAACCUCCAUAUGCCACGAGUGCGGCCUUAAAAUACAAAAACAAAACAAAACAAACAACAAAAAAAAGAAUUAACCACUUAAAAUCUGUUUGGCCCUGCGCCACACAUAAUUUCUCAGGGUCUCAAUCUCUUUAUCUUUAAAGAGAGGGCAAAGGUCUGAAGUAGUGGUUCUCAACCUCAGUUUUCCAUUAGACUCAGCUAGGGAGAUUUUAAAAUUCCAGUGUCUGGGACUACUAGACUAAUCAAUAUUAAAUCAGUGUCUUUGGGUGGUUUGGGGAGGUGCAGGAUGGGGGACUCACCUGCUUUGGUAGUUUUUUAGAGCUGCCAAGAUUAUUCUAAUGUGCAGCCAGGGUCGAGGCUUCCUGAAGAAGAGGAUCUCUGAGGUCACUUUCAUUUGUGAAGGAGGUGUUUGAGACUAGCCCAGGUAGCAAUAGCUAAAAGCAGAUGCCCUGUUCAUCAAUGUCUUCCACACUGUGAGCACUUCUCAUUCCUGCACCUCAAGCCCAUGUCCUCAUGCUACCCAGGAAGUGCCACUAAGGUGCUUGCUCAUAGCUAGUGGAAGAUUAUUUUUUCCAUUUUCAAAAAAAAAAUAAUAUUUGUGCCUGGCUGGCACAUAACUAUCGGAAAGUGGUCUCUGAUGAGAAGCUAUCUUUUUUGGUUAGUUUCUAAAAAGGGUCUUUCUCAAUCUACCCCCUUCACCCUCCUCAAUUCCAGAUAAAGAACUCUCUUAACUAACCCCUAAUAGUUCUUGCCUAUCCCUGAGCUUUUUUGUGUGUAAAAUUUCCUGACCUCUGUCCCCUUCUACCGGCUACCAAUUAUUCACAUUGUAUCCAAUUUUCCAAAUCCAGAUCACCUCUUACAGUUUUUAUGAAAUCUGCCCAAACUUUGCUCUCUUGAAUUUAUAUCACUAUUUUCUAGUAAUAUUUGCAUAAGUCAUCUAUUUUGUAAUCUGUUAUACUUAAUCAUUACCUUCUCUGUAAGAUCUCUUAUUCUUGUCUAAACUAUUAUUCAAAUAGUCAUCUAUGUUUACUUCCUUUGCAAAGACUUAAAUAGGAAAGAAAAUUAAAGAAGAAAUUCACUAGGAAAAUUAUACAGGAAAUUAAUUAAAUGUAAUAAACAGGUAUAGAGGAUAAAAAAAUCUUUGAUUUGCCAGGCAUUAUAGAAAUGUGAUUUACUAUCCAUUCAUUUAUUUAUUUGUUAGGUAUUUAUCAAGGGCCUACAAAGUUCUAGUUUUAUUUCAGGUGCUGGAGAUUUUGGGGGAAAAAAAUAUUCCUAGAGACAUAGAUAUGUACCACGUGGUAAUAAAUUCAAUAAAAAUCAAAAUCAGUAAAGCCUGGCAAGGCCACAGAUAAGGAUAGAUGGAUAGAUGGGUGGCAGAGAGCCUCUUUGGGCCAUGUGGCUCUCCUGUAUGAUUUAUAUUAUGUUUUUACAUGGGCUUAGACUAGUUCAUUUCCUCACUCUUGGAAAUGGUAAGAAUAUGUUAUUCUUCUUUGGAGAAAAGCUAAAUUGACUUAUGACCAUAGCAAGGUACCAAGAAAGCAAGGCAACUUUAUUGUACUGGCUUUCAAUAGACUAUUCUUACUCCUUAUAUACAUCUGUAACUUUCUCAAUUUGUGUAUAGAAGGAGUUCUUUCACAUUUAUUAGUAUUUUGUUAUAGGUGUUACAUUGAUUCUUGUAGGAGAAGUAACUUUAAUGGCUUAAAAUUUUAAUGAUUUAAAAACAAAAUUUUUAAAUCCUGGCUUGACUUUCCUAGGAUUUUAAAAUUUUCCUUCUUUCUCACACAUAUUUCACAGGGGACAGUACUGGCUAAACAUCACUUUAAAUAAAACAAAUAAAAACUGAAGUCACCCCUUUGCAGGUAUAAUAGGAUGAAAAGUCGAAGGAGGAUAAUUAUUCUCAUAUUUUGAUAAUUUCCAAAGGAAACAGCAGACAGUCUAACAGAGCCGAAAAUGUACAAUAAAAAAUCCUGUCAAGCUCCUUCCACUCACAUGAGCAUAGUAAGGUUUAAAUUUGAUGGAAAGCCACAGGCCAGUUCUCAUAAAAUCAAACCCGGUUCACCAUUUCUGCUGCUGACAGGAAAUGUCAUUGCUAGGAAAUAAGGCAGCAAGAGGCCGUCUCCAAAGCAUCAGCACCUCAGAGACAGAUGAGGAGAAGGGGCCCAAGUGUAAACAGAAAUGACCUGUGACCCAGAAGAAUACGUGUGAUUUCCUAGAGCCUGUUUGUAUCUUUUUUGGCUAGAACGGCCUUGGAACAAUCUCAGGGGAAAGUAUUCUGCUCCUGAAGACAAGGUGGCUUAUUAUCAGACAAGAAACAGUAAUAAAGGGAAGAAAAAGAGUCAGAGGGGUGAUUUCUCAAACUUAGGGGCUCAUAGUAAGUAGACAUGAGACAUUUUUGUACAGUGUGUGCGAUACUGAAACUCACGUUAAAAAGUGUGUGUGUAUAUGAUUUGCACAAGAACAUUUCCAUAGUAUAUGUAAAACACCUUGGGUCUUCUAGCCACAAAACCUGGGUGUAUUUGAGAAGAAAUAUUGCAAUUUCCCUAUGUGGGAGUUUGUGUGUGUGUGUACAGGAUACAUAUGUAUACUCUGUGAGUUUAUAUAAUUCACAUAGGUGCAUAUACAACUAUAAGUUCUAUAAAAUUUUAGAAUAUGUGGGCUGGAAAUUCACCAGUGUGUGUACAUUAUCACAUCUAUAUGAGAGCACAUAUCUGUCUGUGAUCAAUUUGUAUUUCAUGUUCUUACCUAGGGAUUUGUACUUGAGCAAAAAGGGUUAUAGAGUCCAUUAGCUGACCUGAAUUUAUGACAAUAAAUCUCUUGAUGUUCAGCUAUGACAGGAAUUACUCUCCUCUAAUGAGUAAUAAAUGUGAGUAAGUCAUGUGUCCCAUUGGAUUACUCGGCUAAAAUCACAUUUAGAGGAUGACUAAUUGUCUAAAAUUUAUCCAAAUCCAAUACAAAUUUUAUUGCCACUAAUUGCUUUUGCAGAUUUUGGAGCAUUAAGCAUAUUUAAAUGUAUUUAUCAUAGCACUCCUGCACACAUGUAAUGCAUGAGUAGAAUAAUCAAGACUAUCCAAUUUAAGCUUUUCAACUAUUUUGGUAAUUUAACAUUAAAUCAUUAUGACUUGAAAUUUAACUUUCCAUUUUUAGAGCCAUGACAAAUUGUAUUUUUAGAUUAAAUGUUUUUGUCAUGAGUGGCCCAUUCUUAUUGUUUUGCAGUUUUGACAUGACUUAAUUGUAAUAUCAGUGUUAUCGACAAGUAAGAACAUAUUGUAUACCUGUUAGUCUCAUUGUAGCUUUAUUCACAUUGCCAUUAAUUCAGCUAUUUUAGCCAGAGCUACCACACUAUAUAAAUGGCUGUUUCCAAAACUUUUAUAUGUCUCAAAAAUAAUCCCUUAUUUGAACUUGCAUGUAUAAAAGUAGUGUUUGAAGUUUAGUAAACAAAUUUUAAAAUCACAGAAAAUAUAUGUGAGAGAUAACAUAGCUAAAUGUGUAAGGAAAUCUUUAAAAAGAUUUCUCUAGGUAUUUUAAGGUUUUCUUUUAUUAAGCAAGUUCAUAAAAUGAUAUAAUAACAAACAUUAAAAGACUUUUGGAUGAGUUGUUUUUAUAUUGAAAUAUUCUUUUCUUGUGAAAAUGUCCAAGGUAAAAGAUUAGAGUGACAGAUGACAAUAAAGAAGAGAAUAAAAAAUGAAAAGUCUAUAUUUUAUCAACUAAAAGUUCAGUGAGUUAACAACUUGAGGUCAAAUGGCAAUGUGAUCAUGUUCCAAGCAUGUAGAAACAAUCAAUAGAUUAUAAAAAUAUAUAGAUACACAAUGGGGUCUGUAUACUGAAAAGAGAUAUCUCUGUGUAUCAGAAACAGAGAGGAGACCCAUGGUGCAAGGACUACUUAUUGGAAGCCAGACCUUGAAAUGAAUCAUCUCGUAGCCCAGAUAAAUGUGGAGGGACUGAGAAGACAUCCUGUUUCUGGAUUGUCAAAGCCGUAGGUGCCCCCAUGACACCUCACUCUGUUCAUUAAUAGGACCUAGAAUGCCACCCACCAGGCUAAGGAGAAGAUAGAAUCACCCAAUGGGAAUAAAAAUCCAUGUCAGACUGUCAGAUCAGCAGCCUGAUCUGCUACACGGUAAACCUGGGCUCUAGGCAACUUAAAAACUUUGUUCACUAGAGAAAAAUCUCUGGGAAAAUGCAGUGACUGAAAUGAAUUAAAACCAUGUGAGGAAAUUCAGUAACAGGAACGAGAGAUGAUGACCUCUUAACGAAUUCACAUCUAAGGAAAUAAUGAUAAUGAAACAAAUUGGAAGUACUUUAACAUAGAAACUUUAAAAUUUCUAUAGGAAGAAUAGUACCUAUGAAAUAAGAAAAAUACAAUCCACCAAAAAGUAAGAAAUUAUAAUUUUAAAAGUGUAAGUUUCUAUGCAAAAUAAUCUACUAGAAAUAUUAGUAAUGAAACAUACAGUUAAAAUAUUUUUAAAAGAAUAGAUGAAUUUUAAAGUCACUCCAAAAUAACUAAAGAAAGUUAUUAAACUAGAAACUAGAACCUAGGAUACCUGCAAUAAUGUACCACAAGGAAAAAAAAUCUAAAAGGAAAAUUGAUAUACUAAGAUUAGAAGUUCCAUUUCAUAUUUAAUAUUU